RNAcentral lists this ribosomal RNA (253 nucleotides) under uncultured bacterium. RNAcentral's name for it is "partial 16S ribosomal RNA". It matches the Rfam family "Bacterial small subunit ribosomal RNA", at positions 524 to 776 of the family's 1533-position model. The record is from RNAcentral.
UACGGAGGGCUCAAGCGUUGUUCGGAUUCAUUGGGCGUAAAGGGUGCGUAGGCGGCGCGGUAAGUCGGGUGUGAAAUCUUGGAGCUUAACUCCGAAACUGCAUUCGAUACUGCCGUGCUUGAGGACUGGAGAGGAGACUGGAAUUUACAGUGUAGCGGUGAAAUGCGUAGAUAUCGUAAGGAAGACCAGUGGCGAAGGCGGGUCUCUGGACAGUUCCUGACGCUGAGGCACGAAGGCCAGGGGAGCAAACGGG